Molecule: small RNA, 126 nt
Filed under: Marmota monax (woodchuck)
Lineage: Eukaryota; Metazoa; Chordata; Mammalia; Rodentia; Sciuridae
Source: RNAcentral
GCCAGGCGCAGUGGCUCACGCCUGUAAUCCCAGCGGCUUGAGAGGCUGAGGCAGGAGCAUCACGAGUUCGAAAGCCAGCCUCAGCAAAAGUGAGGCGCUAAGCAACUCAGUGAGACCCUGUCUCUA